UCUCCGUUGGUGAACCAGCGGAGGGAUCAUUACCGAGUGCAAACUCAUAACCCUUUGUGAACCUAUAUCUGUUGCUUCGGCGGCUCGCUCUCGGGCGAGCCCGCCGGUAAUAUCAGUAUCUCUGUUUGAACCCGACGAUACUUCUGAGUGUUCUUAGCGAACAGUUAAAACUUUUAACAACGGAUCUCUUGGCUCUAGCAUCGAUAAAGAACGCGC
RNAcentral lists this unclassified non-coding RNA (216 nucleotides) under plant metagenome. RNAcentral describes it as "partial contains small subunit ribosomal RNA, internal transcribed spacer 1, and 5.8S ribosomal RNA". The record is from RNAcentral.